UACGAAGGGUGCAAGCGUUACUCGGAAUUACUGGGCGUAAAGCGUGCGUAGGUGGUUUGUUAAGUCUGUUGUGAAAGCCCCGGGCUCAACCUGGGAAUGGCAAUGGAUACUGGCAAGCUAGAGUGCGGUAGAGGGUAGUGGAAUUCCCGGUGUAGCGGUGAAAUGCGUAGAGAUCGGGAGGAACACCAGUGGCGAAGGCGGCUACCUGGACCAGCACUGACACUGAGACGCGAAAGCGUGGGGAGCGAACAGG
This 253-nucleotide ribosomal RNA is filed under the name uncultured bacterium. RNAcentral describes it as "partial 16S ribosomal RNA". It matches the Rfam family "Bacterial small subunit ribosomal RNA", at positions 524 to 776 of the family's 1533-position model. The record is from RNAcentral.